Cricetulus griseus (Chinese hamster) is the source of this 124-nucleotide small nucleolar RNA. Ensembl annotates it as small nucleolar RNA SNORA17. NCBI's taxonomy places the organism in Eukaryota, Metazoa, Chordata, Mammalia, Rodentia, Cricetidae. The record is from Ensembl.
ACUGCCCUGAGAGACCAUACAGAUAUCUGUUUCAUGUGCUUCAGUAGAUGGCAGAGAGGAGAGAGGCUAUGUCUGUGCUCAGUGUUCUGAACUGUGAACAUUUGAGGGACUGCAGCCUGACAAU